Molecule: unclassified non-coding RNA, 149 nt
Organism: Pongo abelii (Sumatran orangutan)
Lineage: Eukaryota; Metazoa; Chordata; Mammalia; Primates; Hominidae
Rfam family: Metazoan signal recognition particle RNA
About the family: The signal recognition particle (SRP) is a universally conserved ribonucleoprotein. It is involved in the co-translational targeting of proteins to membranes.
Source: Ensembl
GCUGGGCGUGGUGGUGCACGCCUGUAAUCCCAGCUACUUGGGAGGCUGAGGCAGGAGAAUCGCUUGAAUCCAGGAGGCAGGGGUUUGCAGUGAGCCAAGAUCACGCCACUGCACUCCAGCCUGGGUAACAGAGUGAGACACCCUCUCAA